RNAcentral lists this microRNA precursor (75 nucleotides) under Petromyzon marinus (sea lamprey). RNAcentral's name for it is "microRNA pma-mir-4631 precursor". Lineage: Eukaryota; Metazoa; Chordata; Hyperoartia; Petromyzontiformes; Petromyzontidae. The record is from miRBase by way of RNAcentral.
GAUGCAUGUUGCGGGCCAAUGUUUACCUGUGUAUAUUCAAAAUUGCCAGGCCGCGUUUGGCCAGCGAUUUGCUGU